CGAAGGGUGCGAGCGUUAAUCGGAAUUACUGGGGCGUAAAGGGUGCGUAGAUGGUUUCUUAAGUCAGCUGUGAAAUUACCCGGGCUUAACCUGGGCGCUGCAGCUGAAACUGGGGAGGCUAGAGUUUGAGAGAGGACGGUGGAAUUCCUGGUGUAGCGGUGAAAUGCGUAGAGAUCAGGAGGAACACUAGUGGCGAAGGCGGCCGUCUGGCUUAAAACUGACGUUGAGGCACGAAAGCGUGGGGAGCAAACAGGAUU
Molecule: ribosomal RNA, 257 nt
Filed under: uncultured bacterium
Lineage: Bacteria
Description: partial 16S ribosomal RNA
Rfam family: Bacterial small subunit ribosomal RNA
Source: RNAcentral